UCCCUUAGUUUUUUUUUUUUCUCUUUUCUCACCCUCCCCAUUUGAAGGUUCUCCUCUUUAUAGUUCUAAAAAUCAUUUCAGCAAUGGAGUUACUUCUAAUUUGAAAAACAAUUGUCUGAUUUGAGAUUCAGCUUCAGUCAGUAGAGUCGUUUAUCUUCAGAAAGGGAUGGGGGAGAGAUGUGGAGGAAGACUUAAUCAACUGUGGAACCAAGUCCAGUCGAUGGCAAUGAGAUAUGAAGAUAGGUAAAUUACCUUAUGGGAGUUUUUGAGUCUUUUGUACUGGGAUUUAGGUUCAUACAUUGUUUUUUAAUUGCGUUUGUUGCACUAUGAUUUCUGUACACAAACGAUUGCAACCAAAAAUGAAAGAGCAGCAUGCUUUAAGCAGAAGAAAUAAAGUAAAAUGUGCAUGUAAACAAUUUAGUCUUGCAAUGAAACACUUGAACAGGAUUUUGGUUCUCGGAGUAUGAGACACUCUGAAGAACAUGAGUGUCAAACAUAUAAAAAAAAUGUAUCGAAUAUUGGUGUUUCUUGAUGCUGGUGGGGUUUUGAGCCCAUUUAGACACGGGAGGAAGACUCACUGCCUCCAGGACAAGGCCUGUCACUAUUGCUCUAUCGGAGGCAGAGGCCGCAAAGCUCUCUUCUUGGUCUUUUGGAACUGCUCAACUGCUCUACAGCAAGUUGGAAGUGGGACAAGAGCAGAUUCAAUCAAGAACUUGGUGAAAUGAGAGCAUUAUGCUAGGACCUCAUCUGGGCAGACAUACAAAUCUUAAUCAAAAGCUUCUUACGAAGAGUCUUCAAAGCUUAUAUUACAAGCCUUCUAUAGAGGAUCAUGACGUAGCAAGAGCUGGUGCAAUUGCUUAUUACAGGAGAGAACCAGCCUUCUCUUAUCAAAUGACAUACUGAGAAGUUGGACCAUCCUAUAAGAUAGAACACAGAUGGUAAUCUGUAGAGAAAGAUAGAAGGGAGCAGCAGCAGCAGAAGAAGAAGUGGUGUAUAUUGCUGGAGACAGAUAGGAAUUUCUGACACCCACACGAGGACUGAGUAGUAGAUGAUGAAUCAUGGAUUAUAUAUUUAUUUUUUCUAUUCUUUGGAAACAAAAUAGAAACUGAUUCUUGUAGUUGCUCAGACUGUUAAAAGGAAAGAAUUGAGAGUGUGGUGGGGGCAUUGUUCUUGCAAAAACAAUAAGUGUGAGUAUCAGAGGUGAGUGCGUGUGAGUGUUCACAGUUUUUGCCUUUGUAAUGAUAAGAGAUUUGAAUGGCUGGCUGCAAAUUAUGCACGUAGU
Long non-coding RNA from Papaver somniferum (opium poppy), 1282 nucleotides. RefSeq lists it as uncharacterized. The transcript is spliced from 4 exons. The record is from RefSeq and is a predicted model, not a curated record. Lineage: Eukaryota; Viridiplantae; Streptophyta; Magnoliopsida; Ranunculales; Papaveraceae.